This 525-nucleotide ribosomal RNA is filed under the name uncultured bacterium. RNAcentral's name for it is "bacterial SSU rRNA". It matches the Rfam family "Archaeal small subunit ribosomal RNA", at positions 345 to 866 of the family's 1478-position model. The record is from RNAcentral.
AACCUCCGCAAUGUGAGAAAUCGCGACGGGGGGAUCCCAAGUGCCAUUCUUAACGGGAUGGCUUUUCAUUAGUGUAAAGAGCUUUUGGAAUAAGGGCUGGGCGAGAACCGGUGCCAGCCGCCGCCGGUAACACCGGCCGAGCUCUAGUGGUAGCAGUUUUUAUUGGGCCUAAAGCGUCCGUAGCCGGUUUAAUAAGUCUCUGGUGAAAUCCUGUAGCUUAACUGUGGGAAUUGCUGGAGAUACUAUUAGACUUGAGACCGGGAGAGGUUAGAGGUACUCCCAGGGUAGAGGUGAAAUUCUGUAAUCCUGGGAGGACCGCCUGUUGCGAAGGCGUCUAACUGGAACGGUUCUGACGGUGAGGGACGAAAGUUAGGGGCGCGAACCGGAUUAGAUACCCGGGUAGUCCUAACCGUAAACGAUGCGGACUUGGUGUUGGGGUGGCUUUGAGCUGCUCCAGUGCCGAAGGGAAGCUGUUAAGUCCGCCGCCUGGGAAGUACGGUCGCAAGACUGAAACUUAAGGAAGUU